Molecule: non-coding RNA, 527 nt
Filed under: Syrrhopodon perarmatus
Lineage: Eukaryota; Viridiplantae; Streptophyta; Bryopsida; Dicranales; Calymperaceae
Description: partial contains tRNA-Leu, trnL-trnF intergenic spacer, and tRNA-Phe
Rfam family: Group I catalytic intron (bases 65-187)
Source: RNAcentral
CCGAAUCGGUAGACGCUACGGACUUAAAGAAUUUGAGCUUUAGUAAAAAAACUUAUUAAAUGUUAGCUUUCAAAUUCAGGAAAACUUAGGUUGAAAAAAAAUAUAAGCAAUCCUGAGCCAAAUAUUUUAUUUUUUACAAAUAAAAAUAGUAAAAAAUGAAAAUAGGUGCAGAGACUCGAUGGAAGCUAUCCAAAUGCAAAAAAACUUUAACAUUAUUUAAUUAAAAUUUUUAUGUUAAUGGAAAUAAAAAAAUUUAACUAAAUUAUUGUUUAGUUAAAUAAUAAGUGAGGAUAAAGGUAGAGUCCAAAUUUAUAUGUUAAUUUUUUUAGCAACAAUGUAAAUUGUAGUAAAAAGAAAAUCCGUUGGUUUUAUUGACCGUGAGGGUUCAAGUCCCUCUACCCCUAAAACUAUGAAUUUUUUUAUUGACAUAAAUAUUUAAGUUAUGGUAAGAUAGUCCAAACAGAAAGCCGGAAUAGCUCAGUUGGUAGAGCAGAGGACUGAAAAUCCUCGUGUCACCAGUCAAAAUA